GCGCGUAGGCGGUUGUGUAAGUUGGAUGUGAAAGCCCCGGGCUCAACCUGGGAAUUGCAUUCAAAACUGCACGGCUAGAGUACGGGAGAGGGGGGUAGAAUUCCAGGUGUAGCGGUGAAAUGCGUAGAGAUCUGGAGGAAUACCGAUGGCGAAGGCAGCCUCCUGGCCUGAUACUGACGCUGAGGUGCGAAAGCAUGGGGAGCAAACAGGAUUAGAUACCCUGGUAGUCCAUGCCGUAAACGAUGUCGACUAGGUGUUGGGGAACUUGAUUCCUUAGUGCCGCAGCUAACGCAUUAAGUCGACCGCCUGGGGAGUACGGCCGCAAGGUUAAAACUCAAAUGAAUUGGCGGGGGCCCGCACAAGCGGUGGAGCAUGUGGUGUAAUUCGAUGCAACGCGAAGAACCUUACCUACUCUUGACAUCCAGAGAACCCUGCAGAGAUGCGGGGGUGCCUUCGGGAAUUCUGAGACAGGUGCUGCAUGGCUGUCGUCAGCUCGUGUCGUGAGAUGUUGGGUUAAGUCCCGCAACGAGCGCAACCCUUAUCCUUAGUUGCCAGCACGUUAUGGUGGGAACUCUAGGGAGACUGCCGGUGACAAACCGGAGGAAGGCGGGGACGA
RNAcentral lists this ribosomal RNA (616 nucleotides) under uncultured bacterium. RNAcentral describes it as "bacterial SSU rRNA". It matches the Rfam family "Bacterial small subunit ribosomal RNA", at positions 567 to 1182 of the family's 1533-position model. The record is from RNAcentral.